GCACCAGGGGGAUGCCCAGGUCUUUUAAGAAGGGGACGUAUACCACCACGAAAGGCAAAGGCUAAGUAAAAAACGAUGAACCUUUGAUUUCCCGAAAUGAAAACAUUAAACAUAUCGAGUGUAGUUCGAAAACACCGAGGGAAGUGAAACAUCUCAGUACCUCGAGGAAGAUUGAUCAACCGAGACUCCGGAUGUAGAUGCGAUCGAAACCGGACCAAACCUCACUUUUCACAACAAAAGCUUGAAAGAAAAUAAUGAACCGUGGUGGAAUCCCGGGCCAGAGAAGGUGAAAGCCCUGUACUCUUUGUUUUUCAAGUCUUUAAGAAAAGAAUCAGAGUACAUCGAGUCAAAUUGAUGGAAGAUAGGGGGACCACCCUCUGAAGGUUGGAUACUUAAAAGAACCGAUAGCGCAGGAUGUACCGUGAGGGAAGGGUGAAAAGAACCGAUACAAGGCCAUUUUCUGGUUUUGAAGAACGAGGUUUGAAAAGAACCUGAAUCCUGGUGCACAACAAGCAGUCGGAGCUCAUUAGAGACUAUUUGGUCUUGAAACAUGGGUGACGGCGUACCUUUUGCAUAAUGGGUCAGCGAGUGUAGAUCACUUUGUAAACUUCACACACAAAGUAGCUUAAACCAAAAGGUGGAGGCAAGAGCAAAGGCGAGUCG
RNAcentral lists this ribosomal RNA (663 nucleotides) under Prasinoderma singulare. Its description in RNAcentral is "partial Bacterial large subunit ribosomal RNA". It matches the Rfam family "Bacterial large subunit ribosomal RNA", at positions 17 to 684 of the family's 2925-position model. Lineage: Eukaryota; Viridiplantae; Prasinodermophyta; Prasinodermophyceae; Prasinodermales; Prasinodermaceae. The record is from RNAcentral.